AAGUCGAGCGAUGAAACUUUAACAGAACCCUUCGGGGCGAAGAUAAAGUGGAUUAGCGGCGGACGGGUGAGUAACACGUGAGUAACCUGCCUUAGACAUUGGGAUAGCCUCGGGAAACCGGGAUUAAUACCAAAUAAAAUCAUAAUGACACAUGUCAUAACGAUCAAAACUCCGGUGGUCUAAGAUGGACUCGCGUCCCAUUAGCUAGUUGGUAGAGUAAAAGCCUACCAAGGCGACGAUGGGUAGCCGGCCUGAGAGGGUGAACGGCCACAUUGGAACUGAGAAACGGUCCAAACCCCUACGGGAGGCAGCAGUGGGGAAUAUUGCACAAUGGAGGGAACUCUGAUGCAGCGACGCCGCGUGAACGAAGAAGGCUUUCGAGUCGUAAAGUUCUUUUAUAUGGGAAGAUAAUGACGGUACCAUAAGAAAAAGCCCCGGCUAACUACGUGCCAGCAGCCGCGGUAAUACGUAGGGGGCUAGCGUUGUCCGGAAUCACUGGGCGUAAAGGGUUCGCAGGCGGAAAUGCAAGUCAGAUGUAAAAGGCAGUAGCUUAACUACUGUAAGCAUUUGAAACUGCAUAUCUUGAGAAGAGUAGAGGUAAGUGGAAUUUUUAGUGUAGCGGUGAAAUGCGUAGAUAUUAAAAAGAAUACCGGUGGCGAAGGCGACUUACUGGGC
Molecule: ribosomal RNA, 675 nt
Filed under: uncultured Eubacteriales bacterium
Lineage: Bacteria; Bacillati; Bacillota; Clostridia; Eubacteriales
Description: bacterial SSU rRNA
Rfam family: Bacterial small subunit ribosomal RNA
Source: RNAcentral